Molecule: ribosomal RNA, 406 nt
Filed under: uncultured bacterium
Lineage: Bacteria
Description: partial 16S ribosomal RNA
Rfam family: Bacterial small subunit ribosomal RNA
Source: RNAcentral
AUUGAACGCUGGCGGCAGGCCUAACACAUGCAAGUCGAGCGAGCGGCGGACGGGUGUGUAAUGUCUGGGGAACACCCUCUUGGGGGGGGGUAACUCUUCGAGAAGCUAGCUAAUAUCGCAUAUGAUCAGCUGUGUCCCCAUGGGAUUAGAUAGUAGGUGGGGUAACGGCUCACCUAGGCGACGAUCCCCAGCUGGUCUGAGAGGAUGACCAGCCACACUGGAACUGAGACACGGUCCAGACUCCUACGGGAGGCAGCAGUGGGGAAUAUUGCACAAUGGGCGCAAGCCUGAUGCAGCCAUGCCGCGUGUAUGAAGAAGGCCUUCGGGUUGUAAAGCACGUUCAGCGGGGAGGCGUUACCCGCAGAAGAAGCACCGGCUAACUCCGUGCCAGCAGCCGCGGUAAUAC